RNAcentral lists this transfer RNA (88 nucleotides) under Streptomyces griseorubens. RNAcentral describes it as "tRNA-Gly". The record is from RNAcentral. Lineage: Bacteria; Bacillati; Actinomycetota; Actinomycetes; Kitasatosporales; Streptomycetaceae.
CGGUGCGCUGGGCCGCGGCCCCGACGGUUCCGGCGUCGACGGUUCCGGAGGCUGGGGCGCCGACGGUUCCGGCGCCGGCGGUGCCGGC